AGGAGAUUAGUCCAACUAAGACUUCUGAUUUCGGCUCAGACAACUAUGGUUAAAACCCAUAAUCCCCUU
This 69-nucleotide transfer RNA is filed under the name Ilisha elongata (elongate ilisha). Its description in RNAcentral is "tRNA-Arg". It matches the Rfam family "tRNA". Rfam says of the family: Transfer RNA (tRNA) molecules are approximately 80 nucleotides in length. Their secondary structure includes four short double-helical elements and three loops (D, anti-codon, and T loops). RNAcentral also lists the same sequence under 1 other name. Lineage: Eukaryota; Metazoa; Chordata; Actinopteri; Clupeiformes; Pristigasteridae. The record is from RNAcentral.